UGGUGGAGUGAUUUGUCUGGUUAAUUCCGAUAACGAACGAGACCUUAACCUGCUAAAUAGCCUGGCCGGCUUUUGCUGGUCACUGGCUUCUUAGAGGGACUGUCAGCGUCUAGCUGACGGAAGUUUGAGGCAAUAACA
Molecule: ribosomal RNA, 138 nt
Filed under: uncultured eukaryote
Lineage: Eukaryota
Description: partial 18S ribosomal RNA
Rfam family: Eukaryotic small subunit ribosomal RNA
Source: RNAcentral